UGGCUCAGAUGGUAAAGUGUCUGCCUGUAACGCAGGAGACCUGGGUUCAAUUCCUGG
RNAcentral lists this transfer RNA (57 nucleotides) under Ovis aries (sheep). It matches the Rfam family "tRNA", at positions 8 to 63 of the family's 71-position model. From Rfam's summary of the family: Transfer RNA (tRNA) molecules are approximately 80 nucleotides in length. Their secondary structure includes four short double-helical elements and three loops (D, anti-codon, and T loops). Lineage: Eukaryota; Metazoa; Chordata; Mammalia; Artiodactyla; Bovidae. The record is from Rfam by way of RNAcentral.